CACUCCUUUAUUUCAGAGAGUCAAAUCUUCAUCUUCAAAUCACCACAGUCAUGACAUCAGCCGUCGACUCUCAAUCGGAUCCCCAAUCCAAUUCCCUAAGCCCCACACUGUCACCAAACGCACCCGAUUGCGAACCAUUUCUUCCCCCAACUCAGUUCCUCCCUUCUCCGCCCACGAGCGACGCCGUUGAAACGCCUCUGCCGCCGCAUGCAGAGAGUCUCCGCUACUCUACCAGCCAACAACCCGAGCCCACAAUCGUAGAAGACGCAAAUGCAGGAUUCAGAAAGCGAAAGCUGUCGGCGGAGAAGGAGGGGAAUUCUCUGAGACGCUCGCCGAGAUUCUCAGCGGGAUCUGGAUCAGGGUCGCGUCAUCUUGUUAAGUGGCAUGGGUCUAGGGAUCCGGAAUUACCGCUGAAUGUCCAAAAUUUUCAUGGAAAGUUCAAUGGUGGGGAGCACUUGAGGCGAUGCCCAGGAUUAAAUCCAUCAGAAAAGCUUGAUGUGAAACUGUACGGUACAUUGGAGCUUAGGAGAUCCCCACGAUUUUCCUCUUCAAAUGGGAAUGAAAACAUGGAAAUUAAUGUUUUACAAAGAAAGAGAAAAUCAAAAGCAGUUCACCAAACGAAAAAAAAUAUAAAAGCGGUUUCUACUUCCAUUGAAUUGUCUAGUUCAACAGUUGAGCAGCAUUCUGAAGUUAAAAUUAUGUCUAGAAGCUCUACCUGUGGAAUUGACGAUACCAAAUCCUUAACUUGGUCUUCAGAGGCAAUCACAUCCCCAUAUCAAAAUGGCAGAACAAUUUCUAAUUCCUUUCCCUUGUCUGAGUUAGAUGAUGAUCCACCAAGAAAGAAAUAUAGAACAUCAACUUCUUCAACUAAGGAAGGUAUGGAUUCAGAAAGCAUUGCUGCCUUCAUUGGUGAUCCAAUACCUGAGGAUGAAGCUCAGAAAAGAUGGGGAUGGCGAUAUGAAUUAAAGGACAAAAAAUGUAAAGACCAACAGCUAAAGAUAAAUGAGGGUGAAGAAGACGAGAUUAUUGCAAAUGUCAAAUGCCAUUAUGCACAAGCUGAAGUUGGGAAUUGCAUUUUUAGUCUUGGGGAUUGUGCAUUUGUAGAAGGUGAAGGAGAGGAGAAACACGUUGGCAGGAUUAUUGAAUUUUUCCAAACAACUGAGGGACAAAACUAUUUCCGAGUCCAAUGGUUCUACCGAAUUCAAGAUACAGUUGUUCAAGAUGAAGGUGGUUUCCAUGACAAGAGGCGUGUAUUUUAUUCAUCAAUAAUGAAUGAUAACUUGAUAGAUUGCAUAAUAGGAAAAGCUAAUGUAACACAAAUAACACCCAGGGUUGGUCUGAAGUUGGCUUCAAUUUCACCAUCUGACUUGUAUUAUGACAUGGAGUAUUGCGUGGAUUACUCUACAUUCCGCAACAUACCAACAGACGCCUCUGCAGUGACAGAGAAUCUACCCUCUUCUGACCUGUGCAAGAACGAAUUAUCAUUACUAGAUCUCUAUGCUGGGUGUGGUGGCAUGUCAACUGGAUUGUGCUUAGGUGCCAAAACUGCAUCAGUUAACCUUGUCACGAGAUGGGCUGUUGAUAGUGAUAUGUCAGCCAGUGAAAGCUUGAAACUAAACCAUCCGGACACACAUGUGCGAAAUGAAUCUGCUGAGGACUUUCUGGAAUUAUUAAAGGAGUGGGAAAAACUAUGCAAACGGUAUAAUGCCACUGUUGCAGAAAGAAAACUUUCAUGUCGAUCCAAAUAUCCAGAAACAACGAAACAAGAAGUUCAUGAUGUUUCUGAUCAUGAAUUUGAAGUUUCUAAGUUAAUUGAUAUUUGCUUUGGUGAUCCCAAAGAAACUGGUAAUCGUGGUCUAUAUUUCAAGGUGCAUUGGAAGGGUUGCAGUACAAGUGAAGACACUUGGGAACCAAUUAAAAGCUUAAGUAAGUGUAAGGAAAGCAUACAGGAUUUUGUGAGAAAAGGGAUGAAAUCAAAAAUCUUGCCUCUUCCUGGAGAAGUUGAUGUUAUUUGUGGGGGUCCUCCUUGUCAAGGAAUUAGUGGAUAUAAUCGCUUUAGAAACUCUGAGUCACCAUUGGAUGAUGAAAGGAAUCGUCAGAUUGUGAUUUUCAUGGACAUGGUGAAAUUUUUGAAGCCUAGGUAUGUUUUAAUGGAGAAUGUGGUUGACAUAUUGAGAUUUGACAAGGGCUCACUUGGAAGAUAUGCAUUAAGUCGUUUGGUGCAUAUGAAAUACCAAGCAAGACUUGGAAUCAUUGCUGCUGGGUGUUACGGUCUUCCACAAUUUCGGUUGCGUGUUUUCUUGUGGGGUUCUCAUCCUAGUGAGGUUUUACCCCAAUUUCCACUGCCAACGCAUGAUGUCAUCGUUAGAUACUGGCCUCCGCCAGAGUUUGAGCGCAAUGUUGUUGCUUAUGAUGAAAACCAACCUCGUGAAUUAGAGAAAGCUACCGUUAUCCAAGAUGCCAUCUCUGAUCUUCCAGCUGUCAUGAACUCGGAAACUCGUGAACAAAUGCCAUAUCAGAGUCCUCCAGAAACGGAAUUUCAAAGAUAUAUACGGUCAACUAAAUAUGAGAUGACUGGGUCAAAAUCAAAUGAAACAACAAAGGAAAGGCCCUUGCUGUAUGAUCACCGUCCCCACACUUUGUCUGAAGAUAGCUACGAACGUGUUUGCCAAAUUCCAAAACGCAAGGGUGCAAAUUUCCGUGAUCUGCCUGGUGUUGUUGUAGGAGCUGACAAUGUGGUAAGACGACAUCCGACAGAUAAUCCGAUGCUGGCAUCUGGAAAACCAUUGAUCCCAGAUUUUUGCUUCACUUUUGAGGGAGGGAAGUCUAAGAGGCCAUAUGCACGGUUAUGGUGGGAUGAGAAUCUUCCAACUGCACUAACCUUCCCAAGCUGUCAUAACCAGGUUGUACUACACCCGGAGCAGGAUCGAGUGCUCACUAUACGAGAAUAUGCCAGACUACAAGGAUUUCCUGAUUAUUAUAGAUUCCAUGGGACUGUGAAAGGGAGGUACCGUCAAAUUGGAAAUGCAGUUGCCAUCCCUGUUUCACGGGCUUUAGGUUACACCUUAGGACUAGCUUGCAGAAAGCUCAGUGGAAAUGAGCCACUUGUAGCUCUCCCUCCUAAGUUUUCUCACUCUCAUUAUCUUCAGUUAUCUAACAAUCAGCCAGGCAACACUGACGACACUGACAACACUGACUAGCAUUCAUCCUAUUAUUUCCCUUUCAUUUCAUCAUAGCCAGCGUUUUUAGUUGAAGUUGUUGCUGAGGAACUCUCCUUCGAAUACCCUAGAUCAUCUUGAAAACUUCUCUCAUUCGUUGGAGCAUGUUUGGUUUAAAGUUUCACGAGUAUUUUAACACAAACUAUUCAAGUACUUGAUAUCUUUCGUGUAGACAAGGUGGUGUGAGAUUUAACAUCA
Vigna angularis (adzuki bean) is the source of this 3416-nucleotide RNA transcript. It is a transcript of the gene named DNA (cytosine-5)-methyltransferase CMT2, with no coding region annotated. The transcript is spliced from 24 exons. NCBI's taxonomy places the organism in Eukaryota, Viridiplantae, Streptophyta, Magnoliopsida, Fabales, Fabaceae. The record is from RefSeq and is a predicted model, not a curated record.